AUACGGAGGACGCGAGCGUUAUCCGGAUUCAUUGGGUUUAAAGGGUGCGCAGGCGGCCGUGCAAGUCAGCGGUGAAAGCCCGGGGCUCAACCCCGGAAGUGCCGUUGAUACUGCAUGGCUGGAAUGCGGUCGAGGCGGGCGGGACGGGGCGGGUAGGGGGGAAAAGCGUAGAUAUGCCACAGAACGCCGAUAGCGGAGGCAGCUCGCCAGGCCUGCAUUGACGCUCGGGCACGAAAGCGUGGGGAUCGAACAGGAUUAGAUACCCUGGUAGUCCACGCCGUAAACGAUGGGCGCUCGUCGUCGGCGGCAGACAGUCGGCGGCCAAGCGAAAGCGAUAAGCGCCCCACCUGGGGAGUACGGUCGCAAGGCUGAAACUCAAAUGAAUUGACGGGG
This 393-nucleotide ribosomal RNA is filed under the name uncultured bacterium. Its description in RNAcentral is "partial 16S ribosomal RNA". It matches the Rfam family "Bacterial small subunit ribosomal RNA", at positions 523 to 918 of the family's 1533-position model. The record is from RNAcentral.